This is a long non-coding RNA of Mustela erminea (ermine), 2427 nucleotides long. RefSeq lists it as uncharacterized. The transcript is spliced from 3 exons. NCBI's taxonomy places the organism in Eukaryota, Metazoa, Chordata, Mammalia, Carnivora, Mustelidae. The record is from RefSeq and is a predicted model, not a curated record.
GUUGAGAACCAGAACCAUGUGGAUGGAGGAAGAAGGUUCUCCAAAACUAUAUGUAUGAGAGACAACUUCCCCAGAAAAAAAGGGAAAAAGGGAGCCAGGGCAGAAAAUAACGCUAUUGUCCCUGCAAACAUCUUCCUUCCGGUUUUCUGCCUGCCUUGCAGGCUGACUAGGAAUCUGUGUGUUCCGUAAACACCAUUUCCGCCAGCAGCUGUAGAGUUGUGGACGGAGUGGGGUCAGUGAGGGCCUGGGUUUAGACAAGGCGAAGAUCAAAUUCCGGCUUUUUCUGGCUGUGUUACUUUGGGCUGGGUAAAUAACCUCUCUGUACUUCAGCAUUGUAAAACGGAGAUAAAAAAAAAAAAAUCUACCUUCUAGGACAGUUAUACCUAAUGAAAUCAAAAGGACUUUAAUAAAUGAUGGGGAAACAGAGGCCCAGCAGAUGGCCGAGCUUGAGGUUAGUUACGUGAAGUACUGAGGAACUGCAAAGACGAGACCUUUUCAGGAGGCCGCGUCUGGAGCCAGUUAGCCCCGCCAAGAGCUUUCAGAAAUUACAAGGCCACAAAAAUGCUUUUUGGCUUGCAGCAUCCGAAUGGGCCCCACCCAUCUUGCUUAGAGUCAGGCCUCCUUUUUCUCACUACUGGACCCUGUGUUGCCAGGCUGGUACACCGAACCCCUAGCGAGCAGAACCCUUUCAAAGCCACUGAAUGGUCUUCCUCUUUGUGGAAGCCUGGGAGGGAAGUGGCUCAAACCAUCCGGUCUGUCUUGCCGUCUUGUUCAUUACCCACCUGGGCUGGAGCUCUGAGCAGAGCCAUUGAUUACGGGAAGGUCAGUGCCACGCAACCAUGUAGGACAAUGAGAAGUCCGCUUCUCUGAUGGGUUUUCUUUCUGACCCAAAGACAGAAAAAUCAAAAAGAAAUACAAGAGGCAGGACUGGAUCCCUCGAAUCUGUCUGGACUUGUCGGCUCACCUGAGUUAGACUGUGAGUUAGGCCUCCUCCGCCCGGCCAGACAGAGUCCCCUCUCCCCGACCCUUCUUCUUGGGGGUUGACAUCUCAAAUGAGGUGACUGUCCUUCAUGCCGCCGAUCGUGCUGUAACUCACAGCAUUUUCUUUUCACGAUGAAAAUGACGCCUUCAUUUUCAACUCCCCAAAUUUCUUAAUUUCUCCGCAAUCAGCUUCUAUCAUGCUGACUCUGAGAGGCCGAGCUGCCACUGUGUGUCUCAUAAAAGUGUUCAGUGUUCGUGUGUAGAGAAUAAGGCUCCGUAGUGAGCCGGGGUUUAAUAAUGUGAUAAUAGACUCAUGGAGAGCCUCACGGUGGUGGCCGCUGUACAUGCAUGAUUGCAACUCACGCUCAUUACUAACGUGAAGACAAACAUGACAAUUGUGACACCGGAUUAUAUGCCACGGAUAAGGAAACUGAGGAUCAGAGAGGUUUAGGUUCUUUCCCAGGGGCACUCAGCUGGUAAAUGGUAGAGCCAGGUCCAAACCCAUUCUUGCCUGGACUCUCAGACCCAUGUGCUUCCCGCAGACCCUAUGAUGUAACUGUCCUUCCAAGCCAUGUCUGUUACCUCUUCUUCUCUUUAACUUACGUCUCCUUUGACUGCGACUCUGGUCCAGGAGAAGCAAAGGAAGCUGUGCAUUGGAGAGGAAGCUCCCGACUUUAGGGGCUCCGUGUGAGGUCACCCUUUGAGUUUCCUCCCCGUGAUAUUUGCUUAUACAACCAACUGCCCUUCUUCUCAACUAAACUCUUCCUUAAGUCUCCAAAAUUUAGAUUUUAUUCAGUUAAGGCCUUCAGGGGUGGUGGUGGUGAUGGUGGUGGCAGUAGGGGUUGUUCCCAUAAUCUCCCCAUUUUGCAGAUGAGAAAAUUGAGGCACAGCAUUUGCCCGGACAGUGAGGGGCAGAUACAGGAUUUGUACUUGAGGUGCUAACUCCAGAGUUCAUGUGCUUUGGCAGGGCCUAGGGAGGUGAGAAGGCUGUAGAGUGAGUGUUGGUGGCACAGGGGUAGGGUGCUGCCGGUGGGAGAUCUUCGCUGCUUCCAAAGGUUGCCCUUGACCAUGUGUGUGAGGGAGAGCCUGGGCCAACCCCGCUGCCUGAGCAGCGAUGUUUAUAGAGGGGACGUCUCCCCCACACCCAGGAGGCUGUGCCCCUGACACCCUUUAGGCUCCAAGAACCCAGUUCCAAAUGGAGCAGCGACUUCAAAAACAAAAACAGAAACAGUUCACGCUCCGUCUCUUAGGAAACAGCAACAACAACAAAAACGCAAUGAGAAACCUCUCCGCUCCAUCUGUAACCGAAUAUAUUUUGAUCUUGGUUUCCUUGGGCAGCCUUCUCUUAACAGCUUCUAAUUCACAGAGACAAAAAACAUAAAACAAUUUAAGGCAUUGGCACUCUCAGUUCGGCAAGGCAGUUUACUCUCAGGGGAGCGUUGUUGG